This 443-nucleotide ribosomal RNA is filed under the name uncultured bacterium. RNAcentral describes it as "partial 16S ribosomal RNA". It matches the Rfam family "Bacterial small subunit ribosomal RNA", at positions 338 to 795 of the family's 1533-position model. The record is from RNAcentral.
CCUACGGGUGGCAGCAGUGGGGAAUAUUGGGCAAUGGGCGCAAGCCUGACCCAGCAACGCCGCGUGAAGGAAGAAGGCUUUCGGGUUGUAAACCUCUUUUUGCAGGGACGAAAAUAGCGAUGCUUGAUGAGGAAUAAGCGACGGCUAACUACGGGCCAGCAGCCGCGGUAAGACGUAGGCGGCAAGCGUUAGCCGGAUUUACUGGGUUUACAGGGGGAGUAGGCGGGAAGGGAAGUCAGAUGUGAAAAUCAGGGGCUCAACCAGUGGACUGCAUCUGAUACUGGUCUGCUUGAGUUCUGGAGAGGUAGGCGGAAUUCCUAGUGUAGCGGUGAAAUGCGUAGAUAUUAGGAGGAACACCGGUGGCGAAGGCGGUUUGCUGGACUGCAACUGACGCUGAGGCGCGAAAGCGUGGGGAGCAAAUAGGAUUAGAUACCCCGGUAGUC